CGAACAGAUAAGGAGCUUGCUCCUUUGACGUUAGCGGCGGACGGGUGAGUAACACGUGGGUAACCUACCUAUAAGACUGGGAUAACUUCGGGAAACCGGAGCUAAUACCGGAUAACAUUUGGAACCGCAUGGUUCUAAAGUGAAAGAUGGUUUUGCUAUCACUUAUAGAUGGACCCGCGCCGUAUUAGCUAGUUGGUAAGGUAACGGCUUACCAAGGCGACGAUACGUAGCCGACCUGAGAGGGUGAUCGGCCACACUGGAACUGAGACACGGUCCAGACUCCUACGGGAGGCAGCAGUAGGGAAUCUUCCGCAAUGGGCGAAAGCCUGACGGAGCAACGCCGCGUGAGUGAUGAAGGGUUUCGGCUCGUAAAACUCUGUUAUUAGGGAAGAACAAACGUGUAAGUAACUGUGCACGUCUUGACGGUACCUAAUCAGAAAGCCACGGCUAACUACGUGCCAGCAGCCGCGGUAAUACGUAGGUGGCAAGCGUUAUCCGGAAUUAUUGGGCGUAAAGCGCGCGUAGGCGGUUUCUUAAGUCUGAUGUGAAAGCCCACGGCUCAACCGUGGAGGGUCAUUGGAAACUGGGAAACUUGAGUGCAGAAGAGGAAAGUGGAAUUCCAUGUGUAGCGGUGAAAUGCGCAGAGAUAUGGAGGAACACCAGUGGCGAAGGCGACUUUCUGGUCUGUAACUGACGCUGAUGUGCGAAAGCGUGGGGAUCAAACAGGAUUAGAUACCCUGGUAGUCCACGCCGUAAACGAUGAGUGCU
This 768-nucleotide ribosomal RNA is filed under the name Staphylococcus sp. RNAcentral describes it as "bacterial SSU rRNA". It matches the Rfam family "Bacterial small subunit ribosomal RNA", at positions 63 to 817 of the family's 1533-position model. Lineage: Bacteria; Bacillati; Bacillota; Bacilli; Caryophanales; Staphylococcaceae. The record is from RNAcentral.